RNAcentral lists this ribosomal RNA (482 nucleotides) under uncultured bacterium. RNAcentral describes it as "partial 16S ribosomal RNA". It matches the Rfam family "Bacterial small subunit ribosomal RNA", at positions 30 to 507 of the family's 1533-position model. The record is from RNAcentral.
AUUGAACGCUGGCGGCAUGCCUUACACAUGCAAGUCGAACGGUAACAGGUCUUCGGAUGCUGACGAGUGGCGAACGGGUGAGUAAUACAUCGGAACGUGCCCGAUCGUGGGGGAUAACGAAGCGAAAGCUUUGCUAAUACCGCAUACGAUCUACGGCUGAAAGCGGGGGAUCUUCGGACCUCGCGCGGACGGAGCGGCCGAUGGCAGAUUAGGUAGUUGGUGGGAUAAAAGCUUACCAAGCCGACGAUCUGUAGCUGGUCUGAGAGGAUGAUCAGCCACACUGGGACUGAGACACGGCCCAGACUCCUACGGGAGGCAGCAGUGGGGAAUUUUGGACAAUGGGCGCAAGCCUGAUCCAGCCAUGCCGCGUGCAGGAUGAAGGCCUUCGGGUUGUAAACUGCUUUUGUACGGAACGAAAAGGUGCCUUCUAAUAAAGGGCGCUCAUGACGGUACCGUAAGAAUAAGCACCGGCUAACUACGUG